RNAcentral lists this ribosomal RNA (441 nucleotides) under uncultured bacterium. RNAcentral's name for it is "partial 16S ribosomal RNA". It matches the Rfam family "Bacterial small subunit ribosomal RNA", at positions 338 to 795 of the family's 1533-position model. The record is from RNAcentral.
CCUACGGGAGGCUGCAGUGGGGAAUAUUGCACAAUGGGCGGAAGCCUGAUGCAGCCAUGCCGCGUGUAUGAAGGAGCCCUUCGGGCUGUAAAGUUCUUUCAGCCGGGAGGAAUAAUGACCAUACCUGACCAUGAAGCACUGGCUAAAUACGUACCAGCAGCCGCGGCCAUACGUGGGGUGCCAGCGUUAUCCGGAUUGACUGGGGGUACAGGGAGCGCAGGUGGUGCGUUAAGCCUGGGGUGAAAGCCCGGGGCCCAACCGAGGGGCUGCAUUCGGACCUGGCGCGCUGGAGUGCCGGAGGGGUAGGCGGAAUUCCUGGUGUAGCGGUGAAAUGCGUAGAGAUUAGGAGGAACACCGGUGGCGAAGGCGGCCGACUGGACGGAGACUGACGCUGAGGCGCGAAAGCGUGGGGAGCAAACAGGAUUAGAUACCCCGGUAGUC